This 253-nucleotide long non-coding RNA is filed under the name Junco hyemalis (dark-eyed junco). RNAcentral describes it as "lncRNA (ENSJHYG00000014888.1)". Lineage: Eukaryota; Metazoa; Chordata; Aves; Passeriformes; Passerellidae. The record is from RNAcentral.
CUUUGGUCCUGUUCUGGGGAGCUCACAUGUGAGCCAGGUGUAAUUACAGCCCUCUCAGCCAGCACUGGUGGGAUCUGUGCUGGGACACCUGCGAGCUGGAACGUGUCUCACAGGUUGGAAAAAGUGCUUUAUAGCUACAUGAAAGGGACUGUGCCUAAGCCUGGAAUUACUGACAUCUGUGUAUCAUUUCAGUGGUAAAUUACAGCUGGGACAUGCUAACCCCAAAGUACAAUAAAGAUCCCAGAUACCAUCA